Molecule: long non-coding RNA, 367 nt
Filed under: Heterocephalus glaber (naked mole-rat)
Lineage: Eukaryota; Metazoa; Chordata; Mammalia; Rodentia; Bathyergidae
Description: lncRNA (ENSHGLG00000042905.1)
Source: RNAcentral
CUGCAGUUCAGAAUGAGACAGCCUUCAUCAAAGCCACCCAGAUGUCAGCACCAUCCAGAACUAUGAGAAACCAGCUAUGAACAUUAUUUUUAAAGCCAACAAUGAGCUCUGUGCUUGCAUAAUACAGCCCAAAUCUCCAAACACACAGAUGCCACUGCCUCUGAAUCAAAGUCUCACGCAUCACUGGCCGGUCUUGUCAAAGGGAGGUGAAGCCUGGUCUCCAUUUGCGCCUGCUUUCUCCUCCACCUCCCACGGUGUACUGCAGAAGGAGACAGCUGGGGGAGACGUCACGGAUGUAUUCCGAACGUACAAUGCUGCAGAAUUCUGACAAGCCAUCUAUGAGGUCAGUGGAGUUUACCCCUAAACC